AUUGAACGCUGGCGGCAUGCUUUACACAUGCAAGUCGAACGGCAGCGCGGGCUUCGGCCUGGCGGCGAGUGGCGAACGGGUGAGUAAUGCAUCGGAACGUGCCCAGUAGUGGGGGAUAGCCCGGCGAAAGCCGGAUUAAUACCGCAUACGACCUGAGGGUGAAAGCGGGGGACCGAAAGGCCUCGCGCUAUUGGAGCGGCCGAUGUCGGAUUAGCUAGUUGGUGGGGUAAAGGCUUACCAAGGCGACGAUCCGUAGCUGGUCUGAGAGGACGACCAGCCACACGGGGCCUGAGAACCGGCCCGGCCCCCUAGGGGGGGCCGCAGGGGGAAUUUUGGGAAAAGGGGGGAAACCCUGUCCCGGCCAUGCCGCGGGGGGAAAAAAGGCCUUGGGUUUAAAAACCGUUUUUUUUGGGAAAAAAAUCCUCUGGGCUAAUACCCCGGGGGGAGAGCGGUCCCGAAAAAAUAAGCACCGGCUAACUCCGU
Molecule: ribosomal RNA, 483 nt
Filed under: uncultured bacterium
Lineage: Bacteria
Description: partial 16S ribosomal RNA
Rfam family: Bacterial small subunit ribosomal RNA
Source: RNAcentral